This 812-nucleotide ribosomal RNA is filed under the name uncultured bacterium. RNAcentral's name for it is "bacterial SSU rRNA". It matches the Rfam family "Bacterial small subunit ribosomal RNA", at positions 8 to 796 of the family's 1533-position model. The record is from RNAcentral.
AGAGUUUGAUCAUGGCUCAGGACUAACGCUGGCGGCAUGCAUCAUACAUGCAAGUCGAACGGGGAUUAUUGUAGCAAUACAGUGGUCCUAGUGGCGGACGGGUGAGUAACACGUAGGUAACCUGCCCCCGUGACCGGAAUAACGUGCCGAAAGGCGCGCUAAUGCCGGAUGUGACCCCGGCCUGGCAUCAGGCAGAGGUAAAAGGACUGGGAGCAAUCCUAGCGCACAGGGAUGGGCCUGCGGGCUAUCAGCUAGUUGGUGGGGUAACGGCCUACCAAGGCUAUGACGGCUAGCCGGCUUGAGAGAGUGAACGGCCACACUGGAACUGAGACACGGUCCAGACUCCUACGGGAGGCAGCAGUAGGGAAUCUUCCGCAAUGGGCGAAAGCCUGACGGAGCAAUGCCGCGUGAACGAUGAAGGCCUUCGGGUCGUAAAGUUCUGUUGUGGGGGAAGAAAUCAUUUUGGGAUAAUACCCCAAGAUGUUUGACGGUACUCCACGAGGAAGCCCCGGCUAAUUACGUGCCAGCAGCCGCGGUAAUACGUAAGGGGCAAGCGUUGUCCGGAAUCACUGGGCGUAAAGCGCACGUAGGCGGUUUAGCAAGUUGGGGGUGUAAGCUCUAGGCUUAACCUAGAAAUUGCCUCCAAAACUACUUCACUUGAGUAUUAGAGGGGAAGCUGGAAUUCACGGUGUAGCGGUGAAAUGCGUAGAUAUCGUGGAGAACACCCGUGGCGAAGGCGGGCUUCUGGCUAAUGACUGACGCUGAGGUGCGAAAGCUAGGGGAGCGAACGGGAUUAGAUACCCCAGUAGUCC